RNAcentral lists this ribosomal RNA (460 nucleotides) under uncultured bacterium. RNAcentral describes it as "partial 16S ribosomal RNA". It matches the Rfam family "Bacterial small subunit ribosomal RNA", at positions 338 to 795 of the family's 1533-position model. The record is from RNAcentral.
CCUACGGGGGGCAGCAGUGAGGAAUAUUGGUCAAUGGACGAGAGUCUGAACCAGCCAAGUAGCGUGAAGGAUGACUGCCCUAUGGGUUGUAAACUUCUUUUAUAUGGGAAUAAAACGUUCCACGUGUGGGAUUUUGUAUGUACCAUAUGAAUAAGGAUCGGCUAACUCCGUGCCAGCAGCCGCGGUAAUACGGAGGAUCCGAGCGUUAUCCGGAUUUAUUGGGUUUAAAGGGAGCGUAGGUGGAUUGUUAAGUCAGUUGUGAAAGUUUGCGGCUCAACCGUAAAAUUGCAGUUGAAACUGGCAGUCUUGAGUACAGUAGAGGUGGGCGGAAUUCGUGGUGUAGCGGUGAAAUGCUUAGAUAUCACGAAGAACUCCGAUUGCGAAGGCAGUUCACUGGACUGCAACUGACACUGAGGCUCGAAAGUGUGGGUAUCAAACAGGAUUAGAUACCCUUGCAGUC